This 209-nucleotide long non-coding RNA is filed under the name Lathyrus oleraceus (garden pea). RNAcentral's name for it is "Pisum sativum (pea) long non-coding RNA (PSAT_LNC033359)". Lineage: Eukaryota; Viridiplantae; Streptophyta; Magnoliopsida; Fabales; Fabaceae. The record is from RNAcentral.
UAAAUUAUUAUUAUAUUAUCUUAAAUUAUUCCGUCCAGUAGCAAUCAAAAUGAAAAUUAAGCAUCUUUCCCAAAUUGGAAUACCUCAGUCCACACACAGGAAACAGACCUGUACUAAUACCAACUAGUAAACAUCCAGAAACUUAAGAAUACAUACAUUAGACAUUGUAAGUAUCUAAUGCAAUCCAAACACUAAAAGAAAGAAAAAUG